This is a long non-coding RNA of Vicia villosa (hairy vetch), 816 nucleotides long. RefSeq lists it as uncharacterized. Lineage: Eukaryota; Viridiplantae; Streptophyta; Magnoliopsida; Fabales; Fabaceae. The transcript has 3 exons. The record is from RefSeq and is a predicted model, not a curated record.
UUGAAUAAGCAAAAGGAUUAGGGUUAGAGGAUUUAGACUCACGUUACUCUCUUCCUCACGUAAAACGCCGUCGGCGGCCGGAGGUCUCUCUUUCAACCUCUCCGAUCACCGAUUCGUACCCUCUCAUCUCGGUACCCUCACGCUUGUCUCAUCUCCCGACUCAAACAAUACAAACACAUAGUCAGCGGUCGGAGACAUGCCGACGGCACUUCAACGGCGUCUGUAACGAAGUGAUUACCAGAAACUCUUCAGGUAACAUUUUGUUUCUUCACUGCAUCGCGAAUCGAUUCCCUCUGUUCUUGAUGUGGUAUUAUGUUGUUUGAGAUUGGUUGUUCUUGCGAUCAAUAUCAGGCGAAGAUGAUGAUGAUGAUUGAAGUUUAUGCGUGAUGAAGAUUAUGAAUCUUGUGUGGUGAAUCGUGAAGAGAAUCCAGAAGAUUGCAGAUCGGGUGGAAUCGUUAGCGUGAAGAAGAUUGAAGUAGAAUGAAGAUCGGUUUUCUGAUUUGGAUUGCACAGAGAUUGAAGGUAAAUUGAGGAACGAAUAUGGAGGUUGGAGAUUGAAUCGGUGAUGGCUUUCUGUUGAAGAUCGAUGAAUGAUGUUAUGGUGAAAGAAGUUUCUGAAUGGAGGGAGAGAGAGAAUUGAAGAUUGAAGAAAGGUUGAAGAAGGUAGAUGAAGAUUCUGGAGAAGGUUGAGGAUUGAAGAGAGGCUUCAUAGAGAGUUUGUUACGUUUCCGAUUUUGUAGGGUCCUAUUUUUGUGUGGCUCCCAUUAUUAGUUUAUCGUGCCGGUUAUAACAUGGAGGAAAGCAAGCCUAAUGAAG